This 104-nucleotide small nuclear RNA is filed under the name Physeter macrocephalus (sperm whale). Lineage: Eukaryota; Metazoa; Chordata; Mammalia; Artiodactyla; Physeteridae. The record is from RNAcentral.
ACGCUAGCUGCGGCAGCACAUAUACUAAAACUGACACAGUACAAAGAUUAGCACGGCCCCUGCCCAAGGAUGAUAGGCAAAUUCAUGGAGCAUUCCAUAUUUUU